UACGGGGGGUCCAAGCGUUGUUCGGAAUCACUGGGCGUAAAGCGCACGUAGGUGGCUCUUCAAGUCUGUUGUGAAAGCCCAGGGCCUAACCCUGGAAGUGCAGUAGAUACUGUUGAGCUUGAGUAUGGGAGAGGAUAGUGGAAUUCCUGGUGUAGUGGUGAAAUACGUAGAUAUCAGGAGGAACACCGGUGGCGAAGGCGGCUAUCUGGCCCAAUACUGACACUAAAGUGCGAAAGCGUGGGGAUCAAACAGG
RNAcentral lists this ribosomal RNA (253 nucleotides) under uncultured prokaryote. RNAcentral describes it as "partial 16S ribosomal RNA". It matches the Rfam family "Bacterial small subunit ribosomal RNA", at positions 524 to 776 of the family's 1533-position model. The record is from RNAcentral.